AUGGAGCUUUUUGACCCAAACCCUAAUCUUUUCCAGCCUCCAUCUUCCUUCUUCCACCAGUCAAGCAAAUCAAAUGAAAUGGUAGUUUUUCUCAUCUUCAUCUUCUGACAAAUGGAUCUUAUUUAUCUUCUUUCUCACACAGCAACAAAUGACAACCUAAUUUCUGCUAAACCCUAAAACCCACCAUCGCAAAUUUGCUUUGUCUGUUCUUGAUCGAUUCCUCUUUGAUAAUUGAAGGUCCACAUAUAAAGACUGAGUGUUAGAUGUUGGAACCGGACUUGAAAAAUUCGAAAUAAAUUUCUACUUUUGUAGUGGCAAUCUCAAGAUUUCAAAUCCGUUUCUCAAUUGUCGUUCUUUCAUUCGGCAUUUCGAACAAUUACGAUUAGUUUUUUUUAUAUGAUUCAGGUAUAAUUUGAAUCAUCCUUGAUGUUCCGGCUGUUCAAGACAAUGAAUUGGGUUGGUUCGGUAUCCUUUUAAUCAUAUAAUGGUCAAAUACACUUAAUACACCAUACAAUUAUAUUUUCCUUUCCUAAUUUUUUUUUCUUCAGGCUUUUUUGUCUAUUUCGAGUUUAUCUAAUAACUAGAUUUGUUUAUCGUUUAUUCUAUCUUGGCUCUUUGUGUAGAUGUAUGUUUUUUGAUAACACAAAUUUAAAUAUCAAUAUAAUUGUGUAUGUUUUGAAUGCGUUCUAAUCCGAUUUUUAUUACUUUUUUGCAUCUAAUCCGAUAAUUGUGAAACUGCAUUAGCAUAUUUCUUUCUCUGUAGUGAUCAUCUUUAAUAGCACUAAAAGGCACAUCAAGAUACUAAGUAACAAUGGUGCCAUAAACUUUCGGGAUGCAUCAUCUCUAUUUCUUAUUCCAAUCCUAUCAUUCAAUCAAACAGAGGAGAUUAAUGAGAUUGAGAGUGUGUUCAUGUGCAACCAGGUUCUGGAAUCGGUUGGGUAACGGGUCAGAUGGGUAUAUUUGUUCAUGUAUAUUAUUUAAUCAAAAACAGUUAAUUAUUAACUAAUAAGAGUUCUAUUUUUUAUAUUGGUUGCUUUUUAAGCUAGGGGAAAAUGGUAAUGGGUCAACCAGAACCAUGACCUUUUUGCAAAAGUACGAAAGGGUCAUGGUUUGGGUUGAAAAGAAAGAUUACUAAUUUAGUCAGCUAGAAGCCAAAUGUCAUGGUUGGAAAAAAAGAUUUUUAUUUAAUUAAAGUAACGACAAAGUAAUAUUUGGUAUGUAUAUUUUUAAUCAAGUUAUAUGUUCUUAAAGUUUAGAAAAGAAAACGCCGACCAAAAUGGUAUAGCUCAGCCUUUAUCCAAGUCACUGAAAAGCCUAAUGUAAAAAGAUCAAACGACCACCUUCUGUUUUAAUAAGUUGGUUUUGUUACGUUAGUUAAGGUCUCAAGAAAUGCAAAGAUUGGGAUAAGCCAGGGAUGUGGGUAUGCGACCAUGAGCUCACUUGGAGAAUCCAAAGUUGAAUUGCUACUCUAGAUGGUUCAAACAAUAAACCUUUGAGAAGUUGUAAAAUGCCCCACACCAGAGCCUCGAGUGGAGUUUCCUGUAUAUAGAAGGAAUUGACGCCAUAUGGGUACCGUACAAGUAUUAAUCUUCAUUUCAUGUACCAGUUCAUUCCAGAAUGACAUCGAUCAACAAUUUCCAGAAAUGCCAGUGAUUUCUUCAACUCCGACUACCGUCGAAAAGACUUCAAGGAUUGCACUGAUCGCCGCCCACAGAAUCGUUCGAGCUCUCGAUUACGAUGUUGAUGAAUUUUAGGCCACCUGCGACCCAGUGAUAGGUUUGAUGCAACUUAAAAUACGAGCCUGUUAGGUCUUUAAGUUGGCAGGUGUGAUACUGCAUGCUGGCGUGAUGAGCGUUUCUUCAUCAGGUUCUAGACAGGUUUUGGGUGGAGAUCUUGCUCGUAUGAUACAAAUCUAAUAUAGCCUUUUUCAUUUAAAAAUGGGCACCAUGUUUCAAACUUUGAGGACUUAAAUAGGGGCGGGUCUGCUUGGACAACUGGUGUAAGAAGUAAUAGAAUUAAAACAAAACCCUUGGAAUAUUGGAAGGGUGAAAGACCCUUGUAUGCAUGAGUUCAUAACAGUUAUGUUAAAUAUCCAACGGGUCAAACGGGUAUAAUAAUAAACAUGUCAAUGAGCCGAGUAUGUGAAACAGAGCCAUUGAAAAUGGUUUCUCUUGUAAAGACUGUGAAGAUGAGUAUGAAAAUGUAAGUGAAGAUGGAGGUGCAUUUUCUAGGUCCGUACAAGUUGUAAAAUUGAACAAUGUUGAGAGAAAUAAUCAUUCUUUAAAAGAAAGAAAACCAGUGAGUUUUGUGAAAUCCAAUUUUAGUAGAAGCAGUACAAGUAGAAACGAGUGGUUUAAGUGCCAUCAAUGUAGGAGAACCGACACAAUAACAGUUUCUUCCACCAAGUGUAAAGAAAAAGUAUAUCGUAUCCAAUGCAUCAAGCAAUGGUAUCCCCAAUUGUCAAAAGAAGAUUUUGCAGAGCUAUGCCCAUUUUGACGUGGAAACUACAACUGCAACUUGUGGUUACAGUCCAACAUUAAGAUGCCGAAAAUUAAAUUUGAUAAUGAUGUGAAGUUGCAACAUCUUCAUUAUUUAAUCAAUUCACUCCUUUCGUUUUCUAAACAAAUCUGUAAAGAACAAGAAGAGGAAAAUAUCGGUGGAAGCAUCUUCUCGAGGGGUAUCACAGUCUUCACUUAAAAUUAGGCUGGCAGAUUGUUACACUGAUGAGUGUGUCUAUUGGUAGUUUUCUUAAGUAGCUUUGUAUUAUAUAUAUGCAUAACCACAUCCUUCUCAAUAACUUAUUUUGUGGGGCCCUUGCUUUAUUUGAACCAGCAACCAUUGCUCAACAUCAAUAUCUGAUCUCCAUAGAAGUUGUUCAAAAUGCUCAUAUGAGCUAUGUCUUAAUUGCUGUCGGGAAAUACGGAACAAUGAACCUAUCGUUCAAAGAAAAGUAGACUUUGGGUACUACUUUAGAGGUUUUGACUAUGUUCAUGGGGGGAUCCUUAAUGAAUACCACUUUUCUUAAAAAUGCACCGAUGUAUGUAUAAAAUAUUAUUUUAACCCAUUUUUAUAUUUGUUUGGUGUAUAGAGUUUAGCAACUUAAAAUUCUUUAUUAAAUAGAUAUUGAUUUAAUUGAUUGGGGUGAAUGGCAAAAUGAAUUUACAUAAUGAAUCAAAGAAUUUAAUUUCUAAUUUGAUUUCGUUUGCAAAUUAAAAGUCUUUGUGAAUAUGAAUGUGAAUAGUGCAGCUAAUUAUAUGGAUGGCAUAAAGAAUCCACGUGGGCUACAAGUUAACUUAGAACAAGAAUUUCAUUAUUUGGGUUGACACAAUUAAUUAUAAAGGUCUGGGCUGAACAAAGUCAUUGGGCUCAAUAUUUUUGUGGUCAACGAAAAAAGAGAGGGGGGAGUCGCAAGUUAAUUGGGGAGAGAAGAAUUGUUUUUUUUUGAAUAAAAAGAGGAAAUUCGCACAGUAUUUAGAUUUUAGACUACGCACAACACGGAGAAAAAACAAGCAGCCUAUUUGUGUGGAUAUGGUAUGUAUGGAUUAAUAGUUAUAUGCUCAACAUGAUAUUUUAUAAAUUCUAUAAUGCAGAAAGUGUGCAUUAGCUAUCGGUGUGCUACAAUGGACUGAAAUCCAUGUUCUUAUGUUUCUAAAUCUAUUCUUGAAAAUGUUAUAUGUGAUAUGUUAUUUCUUACUAAUAGAUUAAAAGGCUUUUGCAAACCCAAAAUUGUAACAAGUUAACAAAUUGUCGACCACAAAUCACAAUUGCCAAGUGAUAGCCUAUACGACAACAUACGUCAUUACGUUGUACAAACACCUAGAGGUAGUUGAUUGUGUUACAGUUAUUUUUUGCUUCUCAUUACCAAAACUAAAAAACAAAAUUUCUCAUUGUUUUUAUUGGUUGUAAGUUGGCUGCUAAUAUCAUUUUUGUUUAUAUGAUUAUUAUAUUAUUAAAGUCAUUUUUAAAUUUUAUUACAGCUUUAAAUACGGCCAUUGCGAAGAUCGAUAGUAAAGAGUGGACUAAUCUCAUGUUACUUUUAGUAAAUUGUAAAUGUAAAAUUAUUUGUCUUUUUUUUGAUGUUUUUGUAC
RNAcentral lists this long non-coding RNA (4088 nucleotides) under Helianthus annuus (common sunflower). Lineage: Eukaryota; Viridiplantae; Streptophyta; Magnoliopsida; Asterales; Asteraceae. The record is from RNAcentral.